AUUGAACGCUGGUGGCAUGCCUUACACAUGCAAGUCGAACGGCAGCACGGGAGCAAUCCUGGUGGCGAGUGGCGAACGGGUGAGUAAAGUAUCGGAACGUGCCCAGUCGUGGGGGAUAACGUAGCGAAAGUUACGCUAAUACCGCAUACGAUCUAUGAAUGAAAGCGGGGGAUCGCAAGACCUCGCGCGAUUGGAGCGGCCGAUAUCAGAUUAGGUAGUUGGUGGGGUAAAGGCUCACCAAGCCGACGGUCUGUAGCUGGUCUGAGAGGACGACCAGCCACACUGGGACUGAGACACGGCCCAGACUCCUACGGGAGGCAGCAGUGGGGAAUUUUGGACAAUGGGCGAAAGCCUGAUCCAGCCAUGCCGCGUGCAGGAUGAAGGCCUUCGGGUUGUAAACUGCUUUUGUACGGAACGAAAAGGUUUGGGCUAAUAAGCUGAGCUCAUGACGGUACCGUAAGAAUAAGCACCGGCUAACUACGUGCCAGCAGCCGCCGUAA
This 500-nucleotide ribosomal RNA is filed under the name uncultured bacterium. RNAcentral describes it as "partial 16S ribosomal RNA". It matches the Rfam family "Bacterial small subunit ribosomal RNA", at positions 30 to 523 of the family's 1533-position model. The record is from RNAcentral.